RNAcentral lists this ribosomal RNA (567 nucleotides) under uncultured bacterium. RNAcentral describes it as "partial 16S ribosomal RNA". It matches the Rfam family "Bacterial small subunit ribosomal RNA", at positions 355 to 914 of the family's 1533-position model. The record is from RNAcentral.
UGGGGAAUUUUGGACAAUGGGCGAAAGCCUGAUCCAGCAAUGCCGCGUGUGUGAAGAAGGCCUUCGGGUUGUAAAGCACUUUUGUCCGGAAAGAAAUCCUUGGCUCUAAUACAGCCGGGGGAUGACGGUACCGGAAGAAUAAGCACCGGCUAACUACGUGCCAGCAGCCGCGGUAAUACGUAGGGUGCAAGCGUUAAUCGGAAUUACUGGGCGUAAAGCGUGCGCAGGCGGUUUGCUAAGACCGAUGUGAAAUCCCCGGGCUCAACCUGGGAACUGCAUUGGUGACUGGCAGGCUAGAGUAUGGCAGAGGGGGGUAGAAUUCCACGUGUAGCAGUGAAAGUGCGUAGAGAUGUGGAGGAAUACCGAUGGCGAAGGCAGCCCCCUGGGCCAAUACUGACGCUCAUGCACGAAAGCGUGGGGAGCAAACAGGAUUAGAUACCCUGGUAGUCCACGCCCUAAACGAUGUCAACUAGUUGUUGGGGAUUCAUUUCCUUAGUAACGUAGCUAACGCGUGAAGUUGACCGCCUGGGGAGUACGGUCGCAAGAUUAAAACUUAAAUGAAUUGAC